RNAcentral lists this ribosomal RNA (433 nucleotides) under uncultured bacterium. Its description in RNAcentral is "partial 16S ribosomal RNA". It matches the Rfam family "Bacterial small subunit ribosomal RNA", at positions 29 to 507 of the family's 1533-position model. The record is from RNAcentral.
AACGAACGCUGGCGGCAUGCCUAACACAUGCAAGUCGAACGAGACCUUCGGGUCUAGUGGCGCACGGGUGCGUAACGCGUGGGAACCUGCCCUUAGGUUCGGAAUAACUCCCCGAAAGGGGUGCUAAUACCGGAUAAUGUCUUCGGACCAAAGAUUUAUCGCCUUUGGGUGGGCCCGCGUUGGAUUAGCUAGUUGGUAGGGUAAAAGCCUACCAAGGCGACGAUCCAUAGCUGGUCUGAGAGGAUGAUCAGCCACACUGGGACUGAGACACGGCCCAGACUCCUACGGGAGGCAGCAGUGGGGAAUAUUGGACACUGGGCGAAAGUCUGAUCCAGCCACGCCGCGUGAGUGAUGGAGGCCUUAGGGUUGUAAAGCUGUUUUACCCGGGAUGAUAAUGACAGUACCGGGAGAAUAAGCUCCGGCUAACUACGUG